GAGCUCAGCCUUCCCUGGCAUUUCUCGUCACGUAGUUUUAGAGCUUUGUUGUGUCGGAAACGCAGAUUUUCCCACGUUGAAUGGCUUAAGUUCCUAGCUGCACACGGGUGAAAAAAAUUCAUAGAAUUACUUCAAAUGCAUGGACCGACCUCAAAUGCAUUGGAAGUCUUGGUUAGUAAAUAGAAACUGAUAUUAACCCUAAUAUGUUUAGCGUUGGCUAUCCUUCAGGGACUAUGGCAAUCUUACUUAACUUUAAUAACCCUCAUGAGAUAACACACCGGUGAGAAAACAGGCUGCAAAGUUAAGUAUCUGAUCUGGUUCAAACCAUCAUUCUCUGGACUCCAAAGGCCACGUCCUUCCGACCAAGCUACACUGGCAGGUAGUGCUU
Long non-coding RNA from Myotis brandtii (Brandt's bat), 388 nucleotides. RefSeq lists it as uncharacterized. NCBI's taxonomy places the organism in Eukaryota, Metazoa, Chordata, Mammalia, Chiroptera, Vespertilionidae. The transcript is spliced from 2 exons. The record is from RefSeq and is a predicted model, not a curated record.